CUAGGAAUAUUGGGCAAUGGGCGAAAGCCUGACCCAGCAACACCGCGUGAAGGACGAAGGCCUUCGGGUUGUAAACUUCUUUUCGAGGGAAUGAGAAAGGACAGUACCCUCGGAAUAAGGCCCGGCUAACUACGUGCCAGCAGCCGCGGUAAUACGUAGGGGCCAAGCGUUAUCCGGAUUUACUGGGCGUAAAGCGCAUGUAGGCGGUCGAUCAAGUCGGAUGUGAAAGCUCCUGGCUUAACUGGGAGAGGUCAUUCGAAACUAGUCGGCUGGAGGGUGGUAGAGGAGAGCGGAAUUCCAGGUGUAGCGGUGAAAUGCGUAGAUAUCUGGAGGAACACCAGUGGCGAAAGCGGCUCUCUGGACCAUUCCUGACGCUGAGAUGCGAAAGCCAGGGGAGAGAACGGG
RNAcentral lists this ribosomal RNA (405 nucleotides) under uncultured bacterium. Its description in RNAcentral is "bacterial SSU rRNA". It matches the Rfam family "Bacterial small subunit ribosomal RNA", at positions 355 to 776 of the family's 1533-position model. The record is from RNAcentral.